This 497-nucleotide long non-coding RNA is filed under the name Homo sapiens (human). RNAcentral's name for it is "non-protein coding lnc-MBLAC2-1:1". The record is from RNAcentral. Lineage: Eukaryota; Metazoa; Chordata; Mammalia; Primates; Hominidae.
UUCUUUCCAUUUCAUAGAAGUGAGCUUGUAGUGGACAAAACAAAGAGGAAAAAAAGAAGAGAACUGUCUGAGGAACAGAAACAAGAAAUUAAAGAUGCUUUUGAACUAUUUGAUACAGACAAAGAUGAAGCAAUAGAUUAUCAUGAAUUAAAGUGGCAAUGAGAGCCUUGGGGUUUGAUGUAAAAAAAGCUGAUGUACUGAAGAUUCUUAAAGAUUAUGACAGAGAAGCCACAGGGAAAAUCACCUUUGAAGAUUUUAAUGAAGUUUGACAGACUGGAUAUUGGAAAGAGAUCCCCAUGAAGAAAUACUCAAGGCAUUUAAACUAUUUGAUGAUGAUGAUUCAGGUAAAAUAAGCUUGAGGAAUUUGCGACGUGUUGCUAGAGAAUUGGGUGAAAACAUGAGUGAUGAAGAACUUCGAGCUAUGAUAGAAGAAUUUGACAAAGAUGGUGAUGGAGAAUAAACCAAGAGGAGUUCAUUGCUAUUAUGACUGGUGACAU